Molecule: long non-coding RNA, 257 nt
Organism: Drosophila novamexicana
Lineage: Eukaryota; Metazoa; Arthropoda; Insecta; Diptera; Drosophilidae
Exons: 2
Source: RefSeq, a predicted model, not a curated record
AAAUAAAAUAUCGAAAAUGCAAGCACCUUUCUCAGUUAUUUUUAUUUUAUUGUCAAUUUUUUCCUGUUCACGCGGAGAAUACAAAACGACAAAAUGGCCACGUUAUCCCAAUAAAUGGUGUCGCCUCAACUAUGGACCAUAUCUCGGCGGCAGAUGCUAAAACAAGCUCAACAUGUUAUUUACCAAGAAAUGUAUUUUAUAACUGGAUAUGCUACAUUCUUAGCUCAUACCAAUAAAAUAAUCCACAAUCUAUGGCA